RNAcentral lists this ribosomal RNA (497 nucleotides) under uncultured bacterium. RNAcentral describes it as "partial 16S ribosomal RNA". It matches the Rfam family "Bacterial small subunit ribosomal RNA", at positions 28 to 507 of the family's 1533-position model. The record is from RNAcentral.
GAUGAACGCUGGCGGCGUGCCUAAUACAUGCAAGUCGAGCGAAAAGUUGAGGAGCUUUCUCCUCUGACGUUAUCGGCGGUCGGGUGAUUAACACGUGGUUAACCUACCUAUAAGACUGGGAUAACUUCGGGAAACCGGAGCUAAUACCGGAUAAUUUAUUGAACUGCAUGGUUCCAUAGUGAAAUACGGUUUUUCUGUCACUUAUAGAUGGAUCCGCGCCGCAUUAGCUAGUUGGUAAGGUAACGGCUUACCAAGGCAACGAUGCGUAGCCGACCUGAGAGGGUGAUCGGCCACACUGGAACUGAGAAACGGUCCAGACUCCUACGGGAGGCAGCAGUAGGGAAUCUUCCGCAAUGGGCGAAAGCCUGACGGAGCAACGCCGCGUGAGUGAUGAAGGUCUUCGGAUCGUAAAACUCUGUUAUUAGGGAAGAACAAAUGUGUAAGUAACUAUGCACGUCUUGACGGUACCUAAUCAGAAAGCCCCGGCUAACUACGUG